GCCAUAGUGAUACCCCAGCGACACCAAUGUGCCGUCACGUCAUCGGCGGGGUCAGAGGAGGAGAAACGGCAUUGGACGCCGGGCAGUGAGAGGCGAGCAGCAGACCCUAUGGGAGACAGCCUGUUCUUGGCUGUUACCAUGGGGACGGAGGCAUAGGUAAUCGCGCCACGGACGUCAUCAAGCCGCGACACGGACACUGACGCCGGACACGAGCGGGCGAGCACGGCGUGGAGCAGGAACUUUAUUUAAGAACUUUAUUUGCAAAAAGAUACAAUUGGAAACGAUACAUACAACGGUGUACACAAGCCUUGCCACAAAACUGGAACCUAGCAUGGGGAAUACAAUCUACUUUUAAUUAUUCGGCUUCAUUAUAUUAUGAUUGGAUUUGAUGAUUCAAGUAUGGCCCUUCUUGAAAAAGAUCCUGAUUUUUGGAUCGAAACCUUUGAGGCUACAAUAAAAAUUUUCUAUUGAAGAAAUGUGUGGACUUUAUACACAGUGAGAGUGCACCCUCCACCACGUGGAAUUCUCGUCUACAUUUGCGGACAUUUCGUCUGUCGGGAGCACCCACCAUUAGGAACUUUGAUGAGAGUGCAGAACCCUCUUGAUAGAUAGACAGAUAGAUAGAUAGACAGAUAGACAGAUAGAUAGAUCUAUCUAUCUAUGUCCGGUAUGUAUUACCGGCAGACGGGUUGCCAGCUGUCCAUAGCCCAACAGCGGCAUCCCACUCGCCAGAAUGCCGGCCCCCUGACGAAAACCACGGAGAGUUGAAACGGCCGUCGGGCUGUAGUACUAGGAUCAUGUCCAGAUGUUUCUUCUGUAAGGAAUAA
This is a long non-coding RNA of Pseudophryne corroboree (corroboree frog), 827 nucleotides long. RefSeq lists it as uncharacterized. The transcript is spliced from 3 exons. The record is from RefSeq and is a predicted model, not a curated record. Lineage: Eukaryota; Metazoa; Chordata; Amphibia; Anura; Myobatrachidae.